This is a non-coding RNA of Schistosoma mattheei, 46 nucleotides long. The record is from Rfam. Lineage: Eukaryota; Metazoa; Platyhelminthes; Trematoda; Strigeidida; Schistosomatidae.
GCACUAUUGAAGAGUUCCACAAUAGGACGAAAUGGCCGUCCAGUGC